GAUGAACGCUGGCGGCGUGCUUAACACAUGCAAGUCGAACGGACUUUACAUGAAGCCUAGCGAAUGUAAAGUUAGUGGCGGACGGGUGAGUAACGCGUGAAUAACCUGCCUUAUACUGGGGGACAACAGUUGGAAACGACUGCUAAUACCGCAUAAGCGCACGGAGCUGCAUGGCUCAGUGUGAAAAACUCCGGUGGUAUAAGAUGGAUUCGCGUCUGAUUAGCUAGUUGGUGAGGUAACGGCUCACCAAGGCGACGAUCAGUAGCCGGCCUGAGAGGGUGAACGGCCACAUUGGGACUGAGACA
RNAcentral lists this ribosomal RNA (305 nucleotides) under uncultured bacterium. RNAcentral's name for it is "bacterial SSU rRNA". It matches the Rfam family "Bacterial small subunit ribosomal RNA", at positions 28 to 326 of the family's 1533-position model. The record is from RNAcentral.